GCCAGCAGCGAUAGCACUUUCAAUACACCAGUUCCCAUUGGAUCACUGAAGUUAAACAACAUUGCGCUUGAUUGGUAUCCGGAUGGGUGACCAUCUGGGCAAUCUCGUUCUGCUGGCU
Molecule: ribosomal RNA, 118 nt
Filed under: Diaphorina citri (Asian citrus psyllid)
Lineage: Eukaryota; Metazoa; Arthropoda; Insecta; Hemiptera; Psyllidae
Source: RNAcentral